UGCUGUACCCAACCUCUGGAGUGAAUGAACAUAUCAAAGAACUAGUGUCUGAGUAUGGCUUAGUUGUCAUUUCAAGAGCUGGGUCUAAUCCUGAAAAGUUUAUAUAUGAGUCAGACGUGUUGUCAAAAUAUAAGAGCAACAUCCAUCUAGUGACAGAAUGGAUUCAGAAUGAGAUAAGUGCCACAAAGAUCAGGCGAUCCCUGAAGCGGAAGGAAAGUGUGAGGUACCUGGUCCCUGACGCUGUCAUUAACUACAUCAAGGAACAUCAGCUGUACCAGCCAGAUACUGAGACAUCCUGAGGAGGCAACAUGUGGACAUAUCUGACACAGAACCGUUAUAAAUCUAGUUAUACUGUAAGGCAGGUAGAAGAGACAACAUACUAUACAAUAUGAGGGUCAUGCAAGUAAAGAGCCAAACCUAUAUUUGAAAUUCCCACUCUUCCGACUUAGACGGCUUUUAUGAAUACACGAAUGUUUCUGGAAUUCAAAAUUCGCUGCAGUGAUAACUUAAGGUAUUUUAUCAUGAAUUGAGUUGGCACGCUAUAUCAGUUUUGUCAUUAUUAUAAAGCUUGCUAAAAUUUGAGGAUUUUAAGUUGGUUAAUUAAAGUGAAUCAAGCAUUU
This is a long non-coding RNA of Branchiostoma belcheri (Belcher's lancelet), 620 nucleotides long. RefSeq lists it as uncharacterized. Lineage: Eukaryota; Metazoa; Chordata; Leptocardii; Amphioxiformes; Branchiostomatidae. The transcript is spliced from 4 exons. The record is from RefSeq and is a predicted model, not a curated record.